This 228-nucleotide long non-coding RNA is filed under the name Ananas comosus (pineapple). RNAcentral's name for it is "long non-coding RNA (ACOM_LNC005611)". The record is from RNAcentral. Lineage: Eukaryota; Viridiplantae; Streptophyta; Magnoliopsida; Poales; Bromeliaceae.
AAGCGAUAAGUGCAUGAUAUAGAAAUAUGCAGUGCUAACCGGUAACAGGCAUGUAUUCAACAUGUAAAUAUGAUUUCUGCAGUAAUGAAUCAACUGAAUAAUAGAAGUAUUGCAACUACUAUAAACAUGAACGUAAACAUAAUCAUAAAAGUGUAAGUACUACUGUACACUACAACUGAUACUCAUUCAUUACUAUCAUUAACACUUUCACUUUCAUUUUCAUUCACU